This 659-nucleotide ribosomal RNA is filed under the name uncultured bacterium. Its description in RNAcentral is "bacterial SSU rRNA". It matches the Rfam family "Bacterial small subunit ribosomal RNA", at positions 798 to 1456 of the family's 1533-position model. The record is from RNAcentral.
CGCCNUAAACGUUGGGCACUAGGUGUGGGGGGCCUUUUCCGGGUUUUCCGCGCCGUAGCUAACGCAUUAAGUGCCCCGCCUGGGGAGUACGGCCGCAAGGCUAAAACUCAAAGGAAUUGACGGGGGCCCGCACAAGCGGCGGAGCAUGCGGAUUAAUUCGAUGCAACGCGAAGAACCUUNNCAAGGCUUGACAUGUGCCGGUCGGCUCCGGAGACGGGGUUUCCUCCUUGUGGGGCCGGUUCACAGGUGGUGCAUGGUUGUCGUCAGCUCGUGUCGUGAGAUGUUGGGUUAAGUCCCGCAACGAGCGCAACCCUUGUCUCGUGUUGCCAGCACGUUGUGGUGGGGACUCGCGGGAGACUGCCGGGGUCAACUCGGAGGAAGGUGGGGAUGACGUCAAAUCAUCAUGCCCCUUAUGUCUUGGGCUUCACGCAUGCUACAAUGGCCGGUACAGAGGGCUGCGAUACUGUGAGGUGGAGCGAAUCCCUUAAAGCCGGUCUCAGUUCGGAUCGGUGUCUGCAACUCGACACCGUGAAGUUGGAGUCGCUAGUAAUCGCAGAUCAGCAACGCUGCGGUGAAUACGUUCUCGGGCCUUGUACACACCGCCCGUCACGUCAUGAAAGUCGGCAACACCCGAAGCCCGUGGCCCUACGGGGAGCGGU